Molecule: ribosomal RNA, 380 nt
Filed under: Pristimantis cf. olivaceus NMP-P6V74067
Lineage: Eukaryota; Metazoa; Chordata; Amphibia; Anura; Strabomantidae
Description: partial small subunit ribosomal RNA
Rfam family: Bacterial small subunit ribosomal RNA
Source: RNAcentral
ACCCCACUAUGCCCAUUUACAAACUUUUUACUUACACCCAAAUCGCCAGGGAACUACGAGCAAAGCUUAAAACCCAAAGGACUUGACGGUACCCCACAUCCCUCUAGAGGAGCCUGUCUCAUAAUCGAUACUCCCCGCUCCACCUCACCACUCUUUGUUUCCCAGCCUGUAUACUGCCGUCGUCAGCUUACCGCAUGAGCGAACAAGUAGGCCCAAUGUGACCAACAAAACGCCAGGUCAAAGUGCAGCAAAUAAAGUGGAAGAAGAUGGGCUACACUCUCUACCCUAGAGAACACGAAAGACUUCAUGAAACUUUGGUCAGAAGGCGGAUUUAGCAGUAAGGCGAAAUAGAAUAUUCUCCUUAACCUAGCACUGGGGUG